CAGAUGCAGUGAUGAUGGCAUAGUUCAGCAGAGUAUCCUGUGACGAACAACUUUGUCUUUCGCUCCUAUCUGAUGUAUCUA
Small nucleolar RNA from Chroicocephalus ridibundus (black-headed gull), 81 nucleotides. RefSeq annotates it as small nucleolar RNA snR60/Z15/Z230/Z193/J17. The transcript has a single exon. The record is from RefSeq and is a predicted model, not a curated record. NCBI's taxonomy places the organism in Eukaryota, Metazoa, Chordata, Aves, Charadriiformes, Laridae.